This 23-nucleotide small nuclear RNA is filed under the name Arabidopsis thaliana (thale cress). Its description in RNAcentral is "snRNA_02810". The record is from RNAcentral. Lineage: Eukaryota; Viridiplantae; Streptophyta; Magnoliopsida; Brassicales; Brassicaceae.
GCAUAUUUUAAGAGUUCAUGGGA